GACGAACGCUGGCGGCGUGCUUAACACAUGCAAGUCGAACGGAAAGGCCCUGCUUUUGUGGGGUGCUUGAGUGGCGAACGGGUGAGUAACACGUGAGUAACCUGCCCUUGACUUUGGGAUAACUUUAGGAAACUGGGGCUAAUAUCGGAUAGGAGCUCCUGCUGCAUGGUGGGGGUUGGAAAGUUUCGGCGGUUGGGGAUGGACUCGAGGCUUAUCAGCUUGUUGGUGGGGUAGUGGCUUACCAAGGUUUUGACGGGUAGCCGGCCUGAGCGGGUGACCGGCCACAAUGGGACUAAGAUACGGCCCAGGCUCCUACGGGAAGCAGCAGUGGGGAAUAUUGCACAAUGGGCGGAAGCCUGAUGCAGCAACGCCGCGUGCGGGAUGACGGCCUUCGGGUUGUAAACCGCUUUCGCCUGUGACGAAGCGUGAGUGACGGUAAUGGGUAAAGAAGCACCGGCUAACUACGUG
RNAcentral lists this ribosomal RNA (468 nucleotides) under uncultured bacterium. Its description in RNAcentral is "partial 16S ribosomal RNA". It matches the Rfam family "Bacterial small subunit ribosomal RNA", at positions 28 to 507 of the family's 1533-position model. The record is from RNAcentral.